CUAAAAUGAAUUAACUGAUGAACAAUAAGAAACGGGCAUAUUUGUAUGUGUCUUUAGAUUUGAUUUGUUCCUAUGUGUUUUUUAAAUACUUAUUGACAACUGUUUUUAAAAAUGUAAUUUACUGACGUGUUGUAUGUACUGAGAUAAAUAUUUAUGAAUAAUUGAGAUAAACAACGAAUAGUUUGCCAGGGGAACAAACCUACAAACCUACACCUACAAAGCUUUUUUUUUUAAUAUUUCAGGUAAACUAAUAUAUAAAGUAAAUGCAUUAAUGUCCACAGGUUAACAUUUAUAGACCACGGGUUGUCUUCGAUGAACCAUGUCACUCACGGAAGCUCAAACUGGGCAUAUGAAAAGUGGAAGCAGGAGCUCUUGAAGAGAGGGGAGCAAUUGAAAGCAACACAUUGGAACUCUUUAAUCCACUCAUUGUUCAUCAAAAGCACAAACCUCAGGGCCACUAGAUUCUCUGCAGCCAAAAGUAUUUUGAAGGCAGAACCAUAAAAAGCCUGCAUCUCUCUUCCGGCAGCACAUUGGAGAAACUAUAGACAAUGUCAAACGGGAGAUGAGUCCUGGCUAAUGAACAUGCUGAUGAGACCUUGAUGGCCCAGAGCACAUAGACAGAAAGCUAGGUGAAAUGUUGUCGCUGAGAUGCCGACAGUGAGUAUAUAUGUGAGUAAUAUGAGAUUGGAGAUCAGAGAUAAGAAUACACACUAUGAAGUGAUCCCGACGAUCCCACACUUUUCAGAGUCAGGAUUAUGGCCAAAAAAUUUGGCCAAUUAACUGCGUUAGAGCAUCCAGCCGAAAGGGGCAAGAUAAGACUUUACACAAGAAUCAGGAGUGAGUCAUUCUAAUUCACUGCAAUGCUGCUGCAGAGAAAUAGCAAAGGCCCAGUGGGAAACAGAAUCCCACCAGGCAUUGUGAUGGAUGAUGUUUCUCUUUUGGAGAAUUUACUCCUAGAUACGUCUGACGGCAGUUUCCAUGGUACACUGAGCAACAAGGAAAGAGAGAAAGAACUCAACUCAUGAUAAAGGAUUUGGCGCGAACAAGUGGACAUAAUGUGAAAUGGCUGCUUCUGUCAGCUUUAAAAUCAAACCCGUGUAGUGAAGGGUUACGGUAAAACUACAAAAGGGAUUCCCACCAAACGUGGUGGAGGGAUGGGGCCUUGUCCAAUUGAAACCCAUUCAAUUUUGGUGUGGAUGUGGAUUAAGGGGAGGAUCCAGG
Molecule: long non-coding RNA, 1221 nt
Organism: Scophthalmus maximus (turbot)
Lineage: Eukaryota; Metazoa; Chordata; Actinopteri; Pleuronectiformes; Scophthalmidae
Exons: 3
Source: RefSeq, a predicted model, not a curated record